AUUGAACGCUGGCGGCAGGCCUAACACAUGCAAGUCGAACGGUAACAGGAAGCAGCUUGCUGCUUUGCUGACGAGUGGCGGACGGGUGAGUAAUGUCUGGGAAACUGCCCGAUGGAGGGGGAUAACUACUGGAAACGGUAGCUAAUACCGCAUAACGUCGCAAGACCAAAGAGGGGGACCUUAGGGCCUCUUGCCAUCGGAUGUGCCCAGAUGGGAUUAGCUAGUAGGUGGGGUAACGGCUCACCUAGGCGACGAUCCCUAGCUGGUCUGAGAGGUUGACCAGCCACACUGGAACUGAGACACGGUCCAGACUCCUACGGGAGGCAGCAGUGGGGAAUAUUGCACAAUGGGCGCAAGCCUGAUGCAGCCAUGCCGCGUGUAUGAAGAAGGCCUUCGGGUUGUAAAGUACUUUCAGCGGGGAGGAAGGGAGUAAAGUUAAUACCUUUGCUCAUUGACGUUACCCGCAGAAGAAGCACCGGCUAACUCCGUG
RNAcentral lists this ribosomal RNA (490 nucleotides) under uncultured bacterium. Its description in RNAcentral is "partial 16S ribosomal RNA". It matches the Rfam family "Bacterial small subunit ribosomal RNA", at positions 30 to 507 of the family's 1533-position model. The record is from RNAcentral.